UUUGCUGUCUGUGUUACAUUAGAGGGGCACUGAAACAAAAUAACUAGACGUGCCUGAAAGGAAUGGCUGGUUUUAGGCUGGCAAAGUCACCCAUUGCUGUGUGUCAGUUGCAGGAGAGUCUUAGGAAUGAGCAGCAUGAAUGUUGGGUGAUAUUACUGAAUAUUCUGGCAGAUCAGAAGCAUUCCUGAUUGAAUACUAUUGCAUUGCUCCUUCCCAGAACUACACCCUGAGUUAAACUUGUCUUGUGACUAUGCUGUGCCUGACUGACUGAUAUUGUGUGACUCUUGGACUGGACUCUGGACUAUUCCUUUGUAUACUCCCCUGUUGUGCUGCCCUCAAUAGAGGAAUGAAAUAAGCCAAGAUAUAAGCAAAUAACUGGUGGUAAUCACCCUAAAAUGACAUAGAAGGCUCAUCUCUGAUGUGAGCAGCUGAGAAAAAUAUGGAAACUCCUUUCCUGAUCUCCAU
Long non-coding RNA from Sceloporus undulatus (fence lizard), 465 nucleotides. RefSeq lists it as uncharacterized. The record is from RefSeq and is a predicted model, not a curated record. Lineage: Eukaryota; Metazoa; Chordata; Lepidosauria; Squamata; Phrynosomatidae. The transcript is spliced from 3 exons.